Molecule: long non-coding RNA, 417 nt
Filed under: Salmo salar (Atlantic salmon)
Lineage: Eukaryota; Metazoa; Chordata; Actinopteri; Salmoniformes; Salmonidae
Description: lncRNA (ENSSSAG00000087222.1)
Source: RNAcentral
CCCGCCCUUUAACUGUGUCAAAGGUUGUGUCCUGCCCUUUAACUGUGUCAAAGGUUGUGUCCUGCCCUUUAACUGUGUCAAAGGUUGUGUCCUGCCCUUUAACUGUGUCAAAGGUUGUGUCCUGCCCUUUAACUGUGUCAAAGGUUGUGUCCUGCCCUUUAACUGUGUCAAAGGUUGUGUCCUGCCCUUUAACUGUGUCAAAGGUUGUGUGUGAGAGAGAGAGGGUGUGUGUGAGAGAGAGAGGUUGUGUGUGUGAGAGAGAGGGUGUGUGUGUGACAGUGUGAGAGAGAGGGGUGUGUGUGUGAGAGGGUGUGUGUGUGACAGUGUGUGUGGAGGAUGAUAAUGCUAGUAGCAGAUAUAGAUCCUCAACACAGCAGUCCAAGCCACAGCAGCAUCUACAUGUCUACAUUACCAGAG